GUGACUGCGUACCUUUUGUAUAAUGGGUCAGCGACUUAAUUUUAGUAGCAAGGUUAACCGUUUAGGGGAGCCGUAGGGAAACCGAGUCUUAACUGGGCGAAUUAGUUGCUAGGAUUAGACCCGAAACCGAGUGAUCUAGCCAUGGGCAGGUUGAAGGUGAGGUAACACUUACUGGAGGACCGAACCGACUAAUGUUGAAAAAUUAGCGGAUGACUUGUGGCUAGGGGUGAAAGGCCAAUCAAACUCGGAGAUAGCUGGUUCUCCCCGAAAGCUAUUUAGGUAGCGCCUCGGACGAAUACUACUGGGGGUAGAGCACUGUUAAGGCUAGGGGGUCAUCCCGACUUACCAACCCUUUGCAAACUCCGAAUACCAGUAAGUAAUAUCCGGGAGACACACGGCGGGUGCUAACGUCCGUCGUGAAGAGGGAAACAACCCAGACCGCCAGCUAAGGUCCCAAAGUUAUAGCUAAGUGGGAAACGAUGUGGGAAGGCUCAGACAGCCAGGAUGUUGGCUUAGAAGCAGCCAUCAUUUAAAGAAAGCGUAAUAGCUCACUGGUCGAGUCGGCCUGCGCGGAAGAUUUAACGGGGCUAAGCUAUACACCGAAGCUGCGGCAAUAUGACUUGUCAUAUUGGGUAGGGGAGCGUUCUGUAAGCCGUUGAAGGUGCAUUGUAAAGUGUGCUGGAGGUAUCAGAAGUGCGAAUGCUGACAUGAGUAACGAUAAAGGGAGUGAAAAACUCCCUCGCCGGAAGAUCAAGGGUUCCUGUCCAACGUUAAUCGGGGCAGGGUAAGUCGACCCCUAAGGCGAGGCCGAAAGGCGUAGUCGAUGGGAAACGGGUUAAUAUUCCCGUACUUCUUAUAAUUGCGAUGGAGGGACGGAGAAGGCUAGGUGAGCCUGGCGACGGUUGUCCAGGUCCAAGUAUGUAGGCUGAUG
RNAcentral lists this ribosomal RNA (931 nucleotides) under Photobacterium iliopiscarium. RNAcentral describes it as "bacterial LSU rRNA". It matches the Rfam family "Bacterial large subunit ribosomal RNA", at positions 593 to 1530 of the family's 2925-position model. The record is from RNAcentral. Lineage: Bacteria; Pseudomonadati; Pseudomonadota; Gammaproteobacteria; Vibrionales; Vibrionaceae.